RNAcentral lists this ribosomal RNA (432 nucleotides) under uncultured soil bacterium. Its description in RNAcentral is "bacterial SSU rRNA". It matches the Rfam family "Bacterial small subunit ribosomal RNA", at positions 26 to 506 of the family's 1533-position model. The record is from RNAcentral.
AGAACGAACGCUGGCGGCAUGCCUAAUACAUGCAAGUCGAACGAACACUUCGGUGUUAGUGGCGCACGGGUGCGUAACGCGUGGGAAUCUGCCCUUGGGUUCGGAAUAACAGUUGGAAACGACUGCUAAUACCGGAUGAUGACGAAAGUCCAAAGAUUUAUCGCCCAGGGAUGAGCCCGCGUAGGAUUAGCUAGUUGGUGAGGUAAAGGCUCACCAAGGCGACGAUCCUUAGCUGGUUUCUGAGAGGAUGAUCAGCCACACUGGGACUGAGACACGGCCCAGACUCCGUACGGGAGGCAGCAGUAGGGAUAUGGACAAUGGGCGCAAGCCUGAUCCAGCAAUGCCGCGUGAGUGAUGAAGGCCUUAGGGUUGUAAAGCUCUUUACCGAGAUGAUAAUGACAGUAUCGGAGAAUACGACCCCGCUAACUCCGU